GUUCUUGUCUUGAUCGGUGGGUGGAGAGAGAGAGAGGGGUUCUUGUCUCGUACCGGCGGCGGCGGAGCUAGACGGGACAGGCCCGUAGAGGCCGCUGUGCCACCUGUGGAUGUCUAAGAGGAGCAGAGGGAGAUGGUAAAGGGGAUAAAUAAAAUAGGCGACGGCGGUUUUUGCAGCGGUGGUGAGUUAGGAUCGCGGCGGACUAAGUCCAGGCCACCCGAACGGUGGCCGACGUCGCCGUUGCUGCAGAGGUACGGAUGUAGGAGGGGGUUGCGUCGGUGUGCGUGCUCCGCACGUCGGUGCCCGCAGCCCGCACACGCCGAAGUGGCCGCGACGAGCCAGCGUACCGAGACGACGAUUGCCACACCUGAUCGGUGUAGGAUGACGAUGAUGACGUUCUAUUUAUCUAGUUCCACUUAUCUACGAGUACCUGACUAAGUUUGGCUCCACUUCUAUCUGUUCUUCAGUUCGUUCUUCCCGAUUGUGUUGUUCCAUGAGAUAAUCAUGGACUACCGCGUACGCUGGGUUUCCCGAAGUGGUGUCACUUCCUGUCGUCACACCGUCUUCCACUUU
RNAcentral lists this ribosomal RNA (573 nucleotides) under Triticum aestivum (bread wheat). RNAcentral describes it as "partial small subunit ribosomal RNA". Lineage: Eukaryota; Viridiplantae; Streptophyta; Magnoliopsida; Poales; Poaceae. The record is from RNAcentral.